Molecule: ribosomal RNA, 493 nt
Filed under: uncultured Bacillus sp.
Lineage: Bacteria; Bacillati; Bacillota; Bacilli; Caryophanales; Bacillaceae
Description: bacterial SSU rRNA
Rfam family: Bacterial small subunit ribosomal RNA
Source: RNAcentral
GAGUUUGAUCAUGGCUCAGGACGAACGCUGGCGGCGUGCCUAAUACAUGCAAGUCGAGCGGACUUAAAAAGCUUGCUUUUUUAAGUUAGCGGCGGACGGGUGAGUAACACGUGGGCAACCUGCCUGUAAGACUGGGAUAACUUCGGGAAACCGGAGCUAAUACCGGAUAAUCCUUUCCUACUCAUGUAGGAAAGCUGAAAGACGGUUUACGCUGUCACUUACAGAUGGGCCCGCGGCGCAUUAGCUAGUUGGUGAGGUAACGGCUCACCAAGGCGACGAUGCGUAGCCGACCUGAGAGGGUGAUCGGCCACACUGGGACUGAGACACGGCCCAGACUCCUACGGGAGGCAGCAGUAGGGAAUCUUCCGCAAUGGACGAAAGUCUGACGGAGCAACGCCGCGUGAGUGAUGAAGGUUUCGGAUCGUAAAACUCUGUUGUUAGGAGAACAAGUACGAGAGUAACUGCUCGUACCUUGACGGUACCUAACCAGAAA